AAUUUAAGUUUUUAUUUUAUAUUGAUUUUUAAAAGUAUUUAUUUGUUUGAGUAUUAGUGGGAAAGGAUUAAAUUUAUUAUAGAUGAUUAGUACGGUGAUGGGAUAUUUUAAAAUUAUAUAAAGAAUACUUUAUUUGUGGUACCUUUUGUAUCAGGGUUUAUUAAAAAGAUGUUCAGGAUUUGAGUUUUCUCGAAUUUAUAGGAGCUAAUAAUAUAUAUAUAUUAAUGUUGAAUAAUUAUUUAUAAUAUAUUAUUGGAAUUAGACGUUAGUCGGAUUUAAAUAUAUCUAGUUCUCUAAGAAAUUAAUUUAAUUAAGCUAAUUCUAGGAAUUAUUUAUUUGAAUAAUUGGUUCUAGAGUUAAGUAAUACUCAAGGGGAUAAGCUUUUGAGUAAAUUUCUAUAAGUUUGUGAUUAUUAAAAAUUGAAUAGGAAUAGAAGUUUUCACUUUUUGUUGUGUUUUAUAGCAAGAUUUUUAUUGAAGUGAUUUAAUUAUUUUUAGGUUUUUUAUUAGAGUGUUGAAUAUAAUUGGUAUUUUUGAGUAAUAAUGAUGAAAUAAGUAUAUGUUUUUGUUCAUGGAAUUUAUGAAUGAUAGGUUUAAUUAAGUAAUUCGGCAAAUUUAUUUUCUGCCUGUUUAUUAAAAACAUGGCCUUUUGGGAAUAAUUUAAGGUCUGGCCUGCCCAAUGAUUAGGAUUUAAUGGCCGCGGUACUCUGACCGUGCAAAGGUAGCAUAAUCAUUAGUUUUUUAAUUGAAAGCUGGUAUGAACGGUCUUACAAGAAAAUAGCUGUCUCAAUUAAAUGGUCCUAGAAUUUUAUUUUUUAGUAAGAAGGCUAAAAUAUUUUUAAGGGACGAGAAGACCCUAUAGAAUUUUAUAAAUUUUUUUAGAUUGUAUUUUUAGGUUGAUUGAUGUGAUUUAGGGGGAUUUAUUUUGUUGGGGUGAUGGAAAAAUUUAAUAAACUUUUUUUAAGGUUUUUCACUGAUUUGUGUAUAUUUGAUCCGUUUAGGACGAUUACAAGAUUAAAUUACCUUAGGGAUAACAGCGUAAUUGAUUUGGAGAGUUCUUAUCGAUAAAUUAGUUUGCGACCUCGAUGUUGGAUUAAAAUGAACUUUUGGUGUAGGAGCUAGAAGGUUAAGUCUGUUCGACUUUUAAAAUUUUACAUGAUCUGAGUUUAAACCGGCGUGAGCCAGGUUGGUUUCUAUCUUUAGAAAAUUAUAAUAUUUUAGUACGAAAGGACCAAAUAUUAGUUUAAUAAAUUGAUUUUUGAAUAUUAAU
Molecule: ribosomal RNA, 1269 nt
Filed under: Dorcus hopei
Lineage: Eukaryota; Metazoa; Arthropoda; Insecta; Coleoptera; Lucanidae
Description: 16S ribosomal RNA
Rfam family: Archaeal large subunit ribosomal RNA (bases 559-1269)
Source: RNAcentral